GACGAACGCUGGCGGCGUGCUUAACACAUGCAAGUCGAACGGCAAGGCCCUGCUUUUGUGGGGUGCUCGAGUGGCGAACGGGUGAGUAACACGUGAGUAACCUGCCCUUGACUUUGGGAUAACUUCAGGAAACUGGGGCUAAUACCGGAUAGGAGCUCCUGCUGCAUGGUGGGGGUUGGAAAGUUUCGGCGGUUGGGGAUGGACUCGCGGCUUAUCAGCUUGUUGGUGGGGUAGUGGCUGACCAAGGCUUUGACGGGUAGCCGGCCUGAGAGGGUGACCGGCCACAUGGGGACUGCGAUACGGCCCAGACUCCUAUGGGAGGCAGCAGUGGGGAAUAUUGCACAAUGGGCGGAAGCCUGUUGCAGCAACGCCGCGUGCGGGAUGACGGCCUUCGGGUUGUAAACCGCUUUCGCCUGUGACGAAGCGUGAGUGACGGUAAUGGGUAAAGAAGCACCGGCUAACUACGUG
Molecule: ribosomal RNA, 468 nt
Filed under: uncultured bacterium
Lineage: Bacteria
Description: partial 16S ribosomal RNA
Rfam family: Bacterial small subunit ribosomal RNA
Source: RNAcentral